RNAcentral lists this ribosomal RNA (524 nucleotides) under uncultured Fusarium. Its description in RNAcentral is "eukaryotic LSU rRNA". The stretch from base 158 to 311 matches the Rfam family "5.8S ribosomal RNA". The record is from RNAcentral. Lineage: Eukaryota; Fungi; Ascomycota; Sordariomycetes; Hypocreales; Nectriaceae.
GGAUCAUUACCGAGUUUACAACUCCCAAACCCCUGUGAACAUACCACUUGUUGCCUCGGCGGAUCAGCCCGCUCCCGGUAAAACGGGACGGCCCGCCAGAGGACCCCUAAACUCUGUUUCUAUAUGUAACUUCUGAGUAAAACCAUAAAUAAAUCAAAACUUUCAACAACGGAUCUCUUGGUUCUGGCAUCGAUGAAGAACGCAGCAAAAUGCGAUAAGUAAUGUGAAUUGCAGAAUUCAGUGAAUCAUCGAAUCUUUGAACGCACAUUGCGCCCGCCAGUAUUCUGGCGGGCAUGCCUGUUCGAGCGUCAUUUCAACCCUCAAGCACAGCUUGGUGUUGGGACUCGCGUUAAUUCGCGUUCCUCAAAUUGAUUGGCGGUCACGUCGAGCUUCCAUAGCGUAGUAGUAAAACCCUCGUUACUGGUAAUCGUCGCGGCCACGCCGUUAAACCCCAACUUCUGAAUGUUGACCUCGGAUCAGGUAGGAAUACCCGCUGAACUUAAGCAUAUCAAUAAGCGGAGGAA